ACGCUUGAGGUGUUUAGAAAGCCUCAAGGAAAGCCUGCAAAGGCGCUGAAGGAGGGAGCUGCGGGCCAUCAGGUAGUUGGUGGGGUAACGGCCUACCAAGCCAACGACGGAUAGGGGGCCUGAGAGGGUGACCCCCCACACUGGAACUGAGAGACGGUCCAGACUCCUACGGGAGGCAGCAGUAAGGGAUAUUGCGACAAUGGGCGAAAGCCUGACGCAGCAACGCCGCGUGAGGGAUGACGGCCUUCGGGUUGUAAACCUCUUUUCAGGGUGAAGAGGAAGGACGGUAGCCCUGGAAGAAGUCUCGGCUAACUACGUGCCAGCAGCCGCGGUAAAACGUAUGAGGCGAGCGUUAUCCGGAUUUACUGGGUGUAAAGCGCGUGCAGGCGGUGGUCUAAGUGGUGUGUGAAAGCGCCCGGCUUAACCGGGCGAGGCCCGCAUUU
RNAcentral lists this ribosomal RNA (443 nucleotides) under uncultured bacterium. Its description in RNAcentral is "bacterial SSU rRNA". It matches the Rfam family "Bacterial small subunit ribosomal RNA", at positions 173 to 630 of the family's 1533-position model. The record is from RNAcentral.